GCAGUCGAGCGAACAUUUAAUUCGAAGUUUUCGGAUGGAGAGUUAUCUGACUGAGCGGCGGACGGGUGAGUAACGCGUGGGGAACCUGCCUCAUACAGGGGAAUAACAGUUAGAAAUGACUGCUAAUGCCGCAUAAGCGCACAGUGCCGCAUGGUACAGUGUGAAAAACUCCGGUGGUAUGAGAUGGCCCCGCGUCUGAUUAGGCAGUUGGCGGGGUAACGGCCCACCAAACCGACGAUCAGUAGCCGACCUGAGAGGGUGACCGGCCACAUUGGGACUGAGACACGGCCCAAACUCCUACGGGAGGCAGCAGUGGGGGAUAUUGCACAAUGGGGGAAACCCUGAUGCAGCGACGCCGCGUGGGUGAGGAAGUAUUUCGGUAUGUAAAGCCCUAUCAGCAGGGAAGAAGAUGACAGUACCUGACUAAGAAGCCCCGGCUAACUACGUGCCAGCAGCCGCGGUAAUACGUAGGGGGCAAGCGUUAUCCGGAUUUACUGGGUGUAAAGGGAGCGCAGGUGGCAAGGCAAGCCAGAAGUGAAAACCCGGGGCUUAACCCCGCGGAUUGCUUUUGGAACUGUCUGGCUGGAGUGCAGGAGGGGCAGGCGGAAUUCCUGGUGUAGCGGUGAAAUGCGUAGAUAUCAGGAGGAACACCGGUGGCGAAGGCGGCCUGCUGGACUGUAACUGACACUGAGGCUCGAAAGC
This 702-nucleotide ribosomal RNA is filed under the name uncultured bacterium. RNAcentral describes it as "bacterial SSU rRNA". It matches the Rfam family "Bacterial small subunit ribosomal RNA", at positions 39 to 760 of the family's 1533-position model. The record is from RNAcentral.